UGGAUUCAGCGGCGGACGGGUGAGUAAUGCCUAGGAAUCUGCCUGGUAGUGGGGGAUAACGUCCGGAAACGGGCGCUAAUACCGCAUACGUCCUGAGGGAGAAAGUGGGGGAUCUUCGGACCUCACGCUAUCAGAUGAGCCUAGGUCGGAUUAGCUAGUUGGUGGGGUAAAGGCCUACCAAGGCGACGAUCCGUAACUGGUCUGAGAGGAUGAUCAGUCACACUGGAACUGAGACACGGUCCAGACUCCUACGGGAGGCAGCAGUGGGGAAUAUUGGACAAUGGGCGAAAGCCUGAUCCAGCCAUGCCGCGUGUGUGAAGAAGGUCUUCGGAUUGUAAAGCACUUUAAGUUGGGAGGAAGGGCAGUAAGUUAAUACCUUGCUGUUUUGACGUUACCAACAGAAUAAGCACCGGCUAACUUCGUGCCAGCAGCCGCGGUAAUACGAAGGGUGCAAGCGUUAAUCGGAAUUACUGGGCGUAAAGCGCGCGUAGGUGGUUCAGCAAGUUGGAUGUGAAAUCCCCGGGCUCAACCUGGGAACUGCAUCCAAAACUACUGAGCUAGAGUACGGUAGAGGGUGGUGGAAUUUCCUGUGUAGCGGUGAAAUGCGUAGAUAUAGGAAGGAACACCAGUGGCGAAGGCGACCACCUGGACUGAUACUGACACUGAGGUGCGAAAGCGUGGGGAGCAAACAGGA
This 694-nucleotide ribosomal RNA is filed under the name Pseudomonas aeruginosa. Its description in RNAcentral is "bacterial SSU rRNA". It matches the Rfam family "Bacterial small subunit ribosomal RNA", at positions 87 to 777 of the family's 1533-position model. Lineage: Bacteria; Pseudomonadati; Pseudomonadota; Gammaproteobacteria; Pseudomonadales; Pseudomonadaceae. The record is from RNAcentral.